This 165-nucleotide non-coding RNA is filed under the name bovine gut metagenome. The record is from RNAcentral.
CAUUGUGAAGUGGAAUCUGAAGGAAGCCGCAGGCAAAGUUCCGAGCCGACGAACAGAAAUCGCAUAUAAGGCGGGGCAGAGCGGGCGAGGCAGCAAUACAAGUCGAAGUCCCAUACUACCCGGACUCUGUCACGUAAAUGCGGCGGCUGCAUGGAAUAAAGGCAA